Molecule: long non-coding RNA, 431 nt
Filed under: Brachypodium distachyon (stiff brome)
Lineage: Eukaryota; Viridiplantae; Streptophyta; Magnoliopsida; Poales; Poaceae
Description: long non-coding RNA (BDIS_LNC004007)
Source: RNAcentral
UUUUUUUUUGCCGAAUCAAACUCGGGAAAUCUACCACGAGGACACGCACGUACGCUAUUUGGUGAUCUAAAGGUCAAGAACACUGCUGGCCCACCGAUCGAGCAGAGGUACACGAGCAAAUCCGAACUGCACGGCGUCUUCCGCUUCACCGCAGUAACAAUGAAGCACCAUCGCACAGCACGUACCACGACGAUAUGAUGGCACGAGUUCACACCAACCAAAUCACGGCAGAGGGACACCCCUGAUUUUGAUUAUUGUUGCGCUAGCGUUCCCAGUUUUACCUCGUCAAUUAUUUGGUUAGAACAUCUCUAUUCUGUAUUUCUAUGGUUCACUUUGCACUCAAUUCAAAAGGAAAUUUUUCAUUGAGUCCAACAUUUUGGAAGAAUUUAUUUGUUUCUAUAAUAACUAUGCCCAUGCAAACAAUCUUCAUA